GAUGAACGCUGGCGGCGUGCUUAAUACAUGCAAGUCGAACGGACGGACGCUACGCUUGCUUCUCUGAUGUUAGCGGAGGACGGGUGAGUAACGCGUGGAUAACCUACCUAUAAGACUGGUAUAACUUCGGGAAACCGGAGCUAAUACCGGAUGAUAUUCUGAACCGCGUUGUUGAAAAGUAAAAGACGGUCGUGCUGGCAGUUAUAGAGGGAUCCGCGCUGGAUGAGCUAGUUGGUAAGGUAACGGCUUACCAAGGCAAGGAUGCAUAGCCGACCUGAGAGGGUGAUAGGCCACACGGGAGCGGAGACACGGACAAGACGCCUACGGGAGGCAGCAGUAGGGAAUCGGCCGCAAUGGGCGAAAGCAUGACGGAGCAACGGCGCGUGAGUGAUGACGGCGUUCGGAGCGUAAAAAUCUGUUACGAGGGAAGAACAUAUUUGUAAGUAACUGUGCAGAGCGUGACGGUACCUAAUCAGAAAGCCACGGCUAACUACGUG
This 497-nucleotide ribosomal RNA is filed under the name uncultured bacterium. RNAcentral's name for it is "partial 16S ribosomal RNA". It matches the Rfam family "Bacterial small subunit ribosomal RNA", at positions 28 to 507 of the family's 1533-position model. The record is from RNAcentral.